Molecule: ribosomal RNA, 385 nt
Filed under: uncultured bacterium
Lineage: Bacteria
Description: bacterial SSU rRNA
Rfam family: Bacterial small subunit ribosomal RNA
Source: RNAcentral
AGUAAAUAGAUACCCGGGUAGUCCACGCCGUAAACGAUGAGUACUAGGUGUAGGAGGUAUCGACUCCUUCUGUGCCGCAGUUAAACACAAUAAGUACUCCGCCUGGGAAGUACGGUCGCAAGAUUAAAACUCAAAGGAAUUGACGGGGCCGCACAAGCAGCGGAGCAUGUGGUUUAAAUUACGAAGCAACGCGAAGAACCUUACCUAGACUUGGUCGAUCUCCUGAAUAAGUGUAGAGAUACAUGAAGCCCUUCGGGUCGAGAAGACAGGUGGUGCAUGGUUGUCGUCAGCUCGUGUCGUGAGAUGUUGGGUUAAGUCCCGCAACGAGCGCAACCCUUACUUACUAGUUGCUACCAUUAAGUUGAGCACUCUAGUGAGACUGCCC